This 198-nucleotide ribosomal RNA is filed under the name uncultured bacterium. RNAcentral's name for it is "partial 16S ribosomal RNA". It matches the Rfam family "Bacterial small subunit ribosomal RNA", at positions 328 to 539 of the family's 1533-position model. The record is from RNAcentral.
ACGCUCGACACCUACGGGAGGCAGCAGUGGGGAAUAUUGCACAAUGGAGGAAACUCUGAUGCAGCGAUGCCGCGUGAGGGAAGAAGGUUUUCGGAUUGUAAACCUCUGUCUUUGGGGACGAUAAUGACGGUACCCAAGGAGGAAGCCCCGGCUAACUACGUGCUAGCAGCCGCGGUAAUCUGAGCGGGCUGGCAAGGC